RNAcentral lists this ribosomal RNA (643 nucleotides) under uncultured bacterium. Its description in RNAcentral is "bacterial SSU rRNA". It matches the Rfam family "Bacterial small subunit ribosomal RNA", at positions 162 to 823 of the family's 1533-position model. The record is from RNAcentral.
GCUAAUACCGCAUAACAACAGAAAGCGCAUGCUUUUUGUUUGAAAACCAAGGUGGUAUGGGAUGGACCCGCGUCUGAUUAGCUGGUUGGCGGGGUAAAGGCCCACCAAGGCGACGAUCAGUAGCCGGCCUGAGAGGGUGGACGGCCACAUUGGGACUGAGACACGGCCCAAACUCCUACGGGAGGCAGCAGUGGGGAAUAUUGCACAAUGGGGGAAACCCUGAUGCAGCGACGCCGCGUGAGUGAAGAAGUAAUUCGUUAUGUAAAGCUCUAUCAGCAGGGAAGAAAAUGACGGUACCUGAGUAAGAAGCCCCGGCUAACUACGUGCCAGCAGUCGCGGUAAUACGUAGGGGGCAAGCGUUAUCCGGAAUUACUGGGUGUAAAGGGAGCGUAGACGGUGAUGCAAGUCUGGAGUGAAAGGCGGGGGCCCAACCCCCGGACUGCUCUGGAAACUGUGUAACUUGAGUGCAGGAGAGGUAAGCGGAAUUCCUAGUGUAGCGGUGAAAUGCGUAGAUAUUAGGAGGAACACCAGUGGCGAAGGCGGCUUACUGGACUGUAACUGACGUUGAGGCUCGAAAGCGUGGGGGAGCAAACAGGAUUAGAUACCCUGGUAGUCCACGCCGUAAACGAUGAUUACUAGGUGU